UUUCAGCUUUUUAUAUAACGUUUGACUAUACGUCUUAUUUUAAAAAAAAUAUGAUUAGUAUUUUUAUUGUUAUUAGAUGAUAAAAUAUGAAUAGUAUUUUAUGCGUGACUAUUUUUUAAAUUUUUUCAUAAAUUUUUUAAAUAAAUAAGACGGAUGGUCAAAUGAUUGACAUAGAAACUUAAAAAUGCGUUCAAU
MicroRNA precursor from Oryza sativa Japonica Group (Japanese rice), 195 nucleotides. It matches the Rfam family "MIR812 microRNA precursor family". NCBI's taxonomy places the organism in Eukaryota, Viridiplantae, Streptophyta, Magnoliopsida, Poales, Poaceae. The record is from Rfam.